GACGAACGCUGGCGGCGUGCCUAAUACAUGCAAGUAGGACGCAGUUCCGAACGGGUGAGUAACGCGUAGGUAACUGCCCAUUAGCGGGGGAUAACUAUUGGAAACGAUAGCUAAUACCGCAUACUAGUAGCUGGAACUGCGUUGGUUUAGCUAGUAGGGAGGGUAAUGGCCUACCUAGGCGACGAUACAUAGACGACCUGGAAAGGGGAUGGGGCAAACUUGGACUGAGACACGGCCCAGACCCCUCCGGGAGGCAGCAGUAAGGAAUCUUCGGAAAUGGGGGGAACCCUGACCGGGCAACGCCGCGGGAGGGAAGAAGGUUUUCGGAACGUAAAGCUCUGUUGUUAAGGAAGCGGUACUUAACCAGAAAGGGACGGCUAACUACGUGCCAGCAGCCGCGGUAAUUC
This 407-nucleotide ribosomal RNA is filed under the name uncultured bacterium. RNAcentral's name for it is "partial 16S ribosomal RNA". It matches the Rfam family "Bacterial small subunit ribosomal RNA", at positions 28 to 526 of the family's 1533-position model. The record is from RNAcentral.